This 61-nucleotide microRNA precursor is filed under the name Hydra vulgaris (swiftwater hydra). RNAcentral describes it as "microRNA hma-mir-3008 precursor". The record is from miRBase by way of RNAcentral. Lineage: Eukaryota; Metazoa; Cnidaria; Hydrozoa; Anthoathecata; Hydridae.
UUGUUGUCGUCAGCUGUAGUUGACGACAAAUAAUUGUCGUCAAGGCAGCUGACGACAAAUA